AACGAACGCUGGCGGCAUGCCUAACACAUGCAAGUCGAACGAGACCUUCGGGUCUAGUGGCGCACGGGUGCGUAACGCGUGGGAACCUGCCCUUAGGUUCGGAAUAACUCCCCGAAAGGGGUGCUAAUACCGGAUAAUGUCUUCGGGCCAAAGAUUUAUCGCCUUUGGAUGGGCCCGCGUUGGAUUAGCUAGUUGGUAGGGUAAAAGCCUACCAAGGCGACGAUCCAUAGCUGGUCUGAGAGGAUGAUCAGUCACACUGGGACUGAGACACGGCCCAGACUCCUACGGGAGGCAGCAGUGGGGAAUAUUGGACAAUGGGCGAAAGCCUGAUCCAGCAAUGCCGCGUGAGUGAUGAAGGCCUUAGGGUUGUAAAGCUCUUUUACCCGGGAUGAUAAUGACAGUACCGGGAGAAUAAGCUCCGGCUAACUCCGUG
This 433-nucleotide ribosomal RNA is filed under the name uncultured bacterium. RNAcentral's name for it is "partial 16S ribosomal RNA". It matches the Rfam family "Bacterial small subunit ribosomal RNA", at positions 29 to 507 of the family's 1533-position model. The record is from RNAcentral.